GCACUCAUAGCUCAAUUGGAUAGAGUUCCUGGCUUCGAACCAGUCGGUUAGAGGUUCGAGUCCUCUUGAGUGCA
Molecule: transfer RNA, 74 nt
Filed under: Chloromonas radiata
Lineage: Eukaryota; Viridiplantae; Chlorophyta; Chlorophyceae; Chlamydomonadales; Chlamydomonadaceae
Description: tRNA-Arg
Rfam family: tRNA
About the family: Transfer RNA (tRNA) molecules are approximately 80 nucleotides in length. Their secondary structure includes four short double-helical elements and three loops (D, anti-codon, and T loops).
Source: RNAcentral